GGGCCGGGGCCGGGUAGAGGGAUGGCUCCCCCCCGGGCGGGAGGAGGCCGUGGGGGGCGGUCGCCGGGGGAAGGUUGAGAGGGGAACCCUGGGCCUUACCUGCCGCCUCCCUCCCUCGGCUCCCGGCUGCCAGCCCCGCCGCCGCCGCUGCUCUGCGCCGCCCUCCGCCGCCCGGCACGGCACGGCACGGCCGCCCGGCACGUCAGCGCCACAGGGGCCGGCCGGGGGCGGGGGCAGCGCCGGCGAGGGGAGGAGGAUGGAGGAGGAGGAUGGAGGAGGAGGAGGCCGGGAAGCCGUGCCUGGGCCCGCCCGGUUCCCUCCGCACCGGCGUUGCCUGACAGGGAGCCCCGGCCCGGGGCAACCGGACCCCGCGGCCUGCGCCCCCCCACCACCCCCCGGCCCGGAGAUGAUGUUCCCGGAGCCGGCUCCGGGCUCUUCUGGGAGAAGGCAGGGUGCGCAUCCUUUCCUGAGUGUUUGGACAACACCAGGGACAUCGUGGAGCCAUAGGAUGAGGGCAUGAACACCGUGUUUGACUACACCUCAUCUUUUUAACAUUCUGACUUUUUCCACUGGCCGCCUGCUUUCCAAACGCUUCCCUCGAGUUACAAAAAACUGAAGACAUUACGUUUUAAGGCAAGAGCUCCUAUUUGACCUCUUCCUGUUUCAUUCCAAUUGGUGAGUAGUUUCUUCUUCUGUGUUAUCAGGCCACCGCUCAGUCCAGGAAUGCUGCUGGUUUUGUGUUUCCAGCCCUGGCAACACGUGGCUGGUUUCUGAAGCCCUGGUUUGUGGCUGGGAGUAAGUCUCUUGCACUGGCCCCGUUUUUCUGUUUCCUCUCCUCAAAGGAUAAUUCAGUUAAGCAAAUUGAUUAUUUUUAAUUGUGGGUAACUCCUCGGAAAUAGGUCAGUAAGUCUCUUGCACUGGCCCCAUUUUUCUGUUUCCUCUCCUCAAAGGAUAAUUCAGUUAAGCAAAUUGAUUAUUUUUAAUUGUGGGUAACUCCUCGGAAAUAGGUCUGCAGAAAGAACAGCAUGAGAGGAGGAGUCCCCAACUUGUCAUCCUCCUGAAGUCCAGUGCUUUUCUGUUUAUUUUUGUGAGUUUCUACAGACCCAGUGGGUGAGGGUGGGGGAAUGAGGGGACAGCACCCCAGAGAAGCCGGAGGAUAUUCCAGGAGCCAUCCCAGCCUUUGGGGACAGAUGGAUUCCCUUCCUGGAGCAAGAUGCCCUGUGUCUCUGGGGAGAGGAUCUGCUUCUGGUUUUGCUGGAGCUUCUCUCUGGAGAUCUCAUGGGCCCACUCUCCUGAACGGGCCCCACUGGUUUGGCUGUUUCAGCUGGAGGACGGGGAGGGGUGGUUCAUAGGAACGAGAGGCCAGUGACAGCCCCACAGGUAACACACAAUCCCAAUUAUCAUCGUUGUUUUCAUUUUUGCUUCCCCCUCCCCUGCUCUGUGAGCACCCAGAUGGGUUUCUUUUUGGGUGAUGAACAGCGAUUGUUGAUAAAAUAAGCUCAGGUUUGUCUGAAAAACAG
RNAcentral lists this long non-coding RNA (1520 nucleotides) under Calidris pugnax (ruff). RNAcentral describes it as "lncRNA (ENSCPUG00000017551.1)". The record is from RNAcentral. Lineage: Eukaryota; Metazoa; Chordata; Aves; Charadriiformes; Scolopacidae.